UACAGAGGUCUCAAGCGUUGUUCGGAUUCAUUGGGCGUAAAGGGUGCGUAGGUGGCGCUGUAAGUCGGGUGUGAAAUUUCGGAGCUUAACUCCGAAACUGCAUUCGAUACUGCGGUGCUUGAGGACUGGAGAGGAGACUGGAAUUCAUGGUGUAGCAGUGAAAUGCGUAGAUAUCAAGUGGAACACCAGUGGCGAAGGCGAGUCCCUGGACAACUCCUGACACUGAGGCACGAAAGCUAGGGGAGCAAACAGG
This 253-nucleotide ribosomal RNA is filed under the name uncultured bacterium. RNAcentral describes it as "partial 16S ribosomal RNA". It matches the Rfam family "Bacterial small subunit ribosomal RNA", at positions 524 to 776 of the family's 1533-position model. The record is from RNAcentral.